AGCAGCCGCGGUAAUUCCAGCUCCAAUAGCGUAUAUUAAAGUUGUUGCAGUUAAAAAGCUCGUAGUUGAAUUUCGGGGUUAGUAGGUUGGUCAUGCCUCUGGUAUGUACUGGUCUCACUGAUUCCUCCUUCCUGAUGAACCUUAAUGCCAUUAAUUUGGUGUUUUGGGGAAUUUGGACUGUUACUUUGAAAAAAUUAGAGUGUUUAAAGCAAGCUAACGCUUGAAUACAUUAGCAUGGAAUAAUGAAAUAGGACGUUCGAUCCUAUUUUGUUGGUUUCUAGGAUUGACGUAAUGAUUAAUAGGGAUAGUUGGGGGCAUUAGUAUUCAAAUGUCAGAGGUGAAAUUCUUGGAUUUAUUGAAGACUAACUACUGCGAAAAGCAUUUGCCAAGGAUGUUUUCAUUAAUCAAGAACGAAAGUUAGGGAUCGAAGACGAUCAGAUACCGUCGUAGUCUUAACCAUAAACUAUGACCGACUAGGGAUCGGAUGAUGUUAAUUUUUAUGUACUCAUUCGGCGCCUUA
This 520-nucleotide ribosomal RNA is filed under the name uncultured Glomus. RNAcentral describes it as "SSU rRNA". It matches the Rfam family "Eukaryotic small subunit ribosomal RNA", at positions 569 to 1090 of the family's 1831-position model. Lineage: Eukaryota; Fungi; Glomeromycota; Glomeromycetes; Glomerales; Glomeraceae. The record is from RNAcentral.